UGCCUUCGGGGCUCCUUGGUGAUUCAUAAUAACUUAACGAAUCGCAUGGCCUUGUGCCGGCGAUGGUUCAUUCAAAUUUCUGCCUAUCAACUUUCGAUGGUAGCAGUCAGUGGUCUACCAUGGUUUCAACGGGUAACGGGGCAAUUAGGGUUCUAUUCCGGAGCAGGGAGCCUGAGCAAACGGCUACCACAUCCAAGGAAGGCAGCAGGCGCGCAAAUUACCCAAUCCCGACACGGGGAGGUAGUGACAAUAAAUACUGAUACAGGGCUCUUUUGGGUCUUGUAAUUGGAAUGAGUACAAUUUAAAUCCCUUAACGAGGAACAAUUGGAGGGCAAGUCUGGUGCCAGCAGCCGCGGUAAUUCCAGCUCCAAUAGCGUAUAUUAAAAUUGUUGCAGUUAAAAAGCUCGUAGUUGAACUUCAGAUUUGGUCGGGUGGUCCGAUUCACAGCGUGUAACUGCUUGGCUGGGUCUUGUACUCUUGGUGAACCAUUGUAGCCCUAUAUAUGGUCGUGCUUUGGGGAACCAGGACUUU
This 531-nucleotide ribosomal RNA is filed under the name uncultured fungus. RNAcentral's name for it is "bacterial SSU rRNA". It matches the Rfam family "Eukaryotic small subunit ribosomal RNA", at positions 228 to 758 of the family's 1831-position model. The record is from RNAcentral. Lineage: Eukaryota; Fungi.